GGGGSGWKMAAGCGUUGUUCGGAUUUACUGGGCGUAAAGGGCGCGUAGGCGGCCAGCACAAGUCAGUUGUGAAAUCUCCGAGCUUAACUCGGAAAGGUCAACUGAUACUGUGCGGCUAGAGUGCGGAAGGGGCAACUGGAAUUCUUGGUGUAGCGGUGAAAUGCGUAGAUAUCAAGAGGAACACCUGCGGCGAAGGCGGGUUGCUGGGCCGACACUGACGCUGAGGCGCGAAAGCCAGGGGAGCGAACGGGAUUAGAUACCCCGGUAGUCCUGGCCUUAAACGAUGAAUGCUUGGUGUCUGGGGUUAUAUAGUCCCCGGGUGCCGUCGCUAACGCUUUAAGCAUUCCGCCUGGGGAGUACGGUCGCAAGACUG
This 373-nucleotide ribosomal RNA is filed under the name uncultured bacterium. Its description in RNAcentral is "bacterial SSU rRNA". It matches the Rfam family "Bacterial small subunit ribosomal RNA", at positions 527 to 896 of the family's 1533-position model. The record is from RNAcentral.